GAUGAACGCUGGCGGCGUGCCUAAUACAUGCAAGUCGAGCGAACGGACGAGAAGCUUGCUUCUCUGAUGUUAGCGGCGGACGGGUGAGUAACACGUGGAUAACCUACCUAUAAGACUGGGAUAACUUCGGGAAACCGGAGCUAAUACCGGAUAAUAUUUUGAACCGCAUGGUUCAAAAGUGAAAGACGGUCUUGCUGUCACUUAUAGAUGGAUCCGCGCUGCAUUAGCUAGUUGGUAAGGUAACGGCUUACCAAGGCAACGAUGCAUAGCCGACCUGAGAGGGUGAUCGGCCACACUGGAACUGAGACACGGUCCAGACUCCUACGGGAGGCAGCAGUAGGGAAUCUUCCGCAAUGGGCGAAAGCCUGACGGAGCAACGCCGCGUGAGUGAUGAAGGUCUUCGGAUCGUAAAACUCUGUUAUUAGGGAAGAACAUAUGUGUAAGUAACUGUGCACAUCUUGACGGUACCUAAUCAGAAAGCCACGGCUAACUACGUGCCAGCAGCCGCGGUAAUACGUAGGUGGCAAGCGUUAUCCGGAAUUAUUGGGCGUAAAGCGCGCGUAGGCGGUUUUUUAAGUCUGAUGUGAAAGCCCACGGCUCAACCGUGGAGGGUCAUUGGAAACUGGAAAACUUGAGUGCAGAAGAGGAAAGUGGAAUUCCAUGUGUAGCGGUGAAAUGCGCAGAGAUAUGGAGGAACACCAGUGGCGAAGGCGACUUUCUGGUCUGUAACUGACGCUGAUGUGCGAAAGCGUGGGGAUCAAACAGGAUUAGAUACCCUGGUAGUCCACGCCGUAAACGAUGAGUGCUAAGUGUUAGGGGGUUUCCGCCUCUUAGUGCUGCAGCUAACGCAUUAAGCACUCCGCCUGGGGAGUACGACCGCAAGGUUGAAACUCAAAGGAAUUGACGGGGACCCGCACAAGCGGUGGAGCAUGUGGUUUAAUUCGAAGCAACGCGAAGAACCUUACCAAAUCUUGACAUCCCUUGACAACUCUAGAGAUAGAGCCUUCCCCUUCGGGGGACAAAGUGACAGGUGGUGCAUGGUUGUCGUCAGCUCGUGUCGUGAGAUGUUGGGUUAAGUCCCGCAACGAGCGCAACCCUUAAGCUUAGUUGCCAUCAUUAAGUUGGGCACUCUAAGUUGACUGCCGGUGACAAACCGGAGGAAGGUGGGGAUGACGUCAAAUCAUCAUGCCCCUUAUGAUUUGGGCUACACACGUGCUACAAUGGACAAUACAAAGGGCAGCGAAACCGCGAGGUCAAGCAAAUCCCAUAAAGUUGUUCUCAGUUCGGAUUGUAGUCUGCAACUCGACUACAUGAAGCUGGAAUCGCUAGUAAUCGUAGAUCAGCAUGCUACGGUGAAUACGUUCCCGGGUCU
Molecule: ribosomal RNA, 1372 nt
Filed under: uncultured bacterium
Lineage: Bacteria
Description: bacterial SSU rRNA
Rfam family: Bacterial small subunit ribosomal RNA
Source: RNAcentral